Molecule: small nuclear RNA, 146 nt
Organism: Danio rerio (zebrafish)
Lineage: Eukaryota; Metazoa; Chordata; Actinopteri; Cypriniformes; Danionidae
Gene: U1
Rfam family: U1 spliceosomal RNA
About the family: U1 is a small nuclear RNA (snRNA) component of the spliceosome (involved in pre-mRNA splicing). Its 5' end forms complementary base pairs with the 5' splice junction, thus defining the 5' donor site of an intron. There are significant differences in sequence and secondary structure between metazoan and yeast U1 snRNAs, the latter being much longer (568 nucleotides as compared to 164 nucleotides in human).
Source: Ensembl
UUUCAUUGGUCGCAGACAGUAGACAAUAUCUACGGUCACCGUACACAUUGCACGACUGUAGAAAGAACCUCUGCGAAUUCCCCAAAUGUGGGAAUCUCGACUGCAUAAUUUCUGGUAGUGGGGGACUGCGUUCGCGCUCUCCCCUG